This is a non-coding RNA of Dickeya dadantii 3937, 88 nucleotides long. The record is from Rfam. NCBI's taxonomy places the organism in Bacteria, Pseudomonadati, Pseudomonadota, Gammaproteobacteria, Enterobacterales, Pectobacteriaceae.
AAUUAUGGUGGGGCGUAAUGGGGGAGCCUUCGGGCUCGCCGGUUCCUUGGAUGCCGGUCUGCUAACCCUGUUACGUCUCACCACCCUG